This 199-nucleotide ribosomal RNA is filed under the name Rahnella perminowiae. RNAcentral describes it as "partial 16S ribosomal RNA". It matches the Rfam family "Bacterial small subunit ribosomal RNA", at positions 1 to 207 of the family's 1533-position model. Lineage: Bacteria; Pseudomonadati; Pseudomonadota; Gammaproteobacteria; Enterobacterales; Yersiniaceae. The record is from RNAcentral.
UAAUUGAAGAGUUUGAUCAUGGCUCAGAUUGAACGCUGGCGGCAGGCCUAACACAUGCAAGUCGAGCGGCAGCGGGAAGUAGCUUGCUACUUUGCCGGCGAGCGGCGGACGGGUGAGUAAUGUCUGGGAAACUGCCUGAUGGAGGGGGAUAACUACUGGAAACGGUAGCUAAUACCGCAUGACCUCGAAAGAGCAAAGU